RNAcentral lists this ribosomal RNA (497 nucleotides) under uncultured bacterium. Its description in RNAcentral is "partial 16S ribosomal RNA". It matches the Rfam family "Bacterial small subunit ribosomal RNA", at positions 28 to 507 of the family's 1533-position model. The record is from RNAcentral.
GAUGAACGCUGGCGGCGUGCCUAAUACAUGCAAGUCGAGCGAACAGACGAGGAGCUUGCUCCUCUUACGUUAGCGGCGGACGGGUGAGUAACACGUGGAUAACCUACCUAUAAGACUGGGAUAACUUCGGGAAACCGGAGCUAAUACCGGAUAACAUGUUGAACCGCAUGGUUCAACAGUGAAAGACGGUCUUGCUGUCACUUAUAGAUGGAUCCGCGCCGCAUUAGCUAGUUGGUAAGGUAACGGCUUACCAAGGCAACGAUGCGUAGCCGACCUGAGAGGGUGAUCGGCCACACUGGAACUGAGACACGGUCCAGACUCCUACGGGAGGCAGCAGUAGGGAAUCUUCCGCAAUGGGCGAAAGCCUGACGGAGCAACGCCGCGUGAGUGAAGAAGGUCUUCGGAUCGUAAAACUCUGUUAUUAGGGAAGAACAAAUGUGUAAGUAACUAUGCACGUCUUGACGGUACCUAAUCAGAAAGCCACGGCUAACUACGUG